RNAcentral lists this ribosomal RNA (641 nucleotides) under Geodermatophilus sp. I12A-02614. RNAcentral's name for it is "bacterial SSU rRNA". It matches the Rfam family "Bacterial small subunit ribosomal RNA", at positions 95 to 749 of the family's 1533-position model. Lineage: Bacteria; Bacillati; Actinomycetota; Actinomycetes; Geodermatophilales; Geodermatophilaceae. The record is from RNAcentral.
GUGGCGAACGGGUGAGUAACACGUGGGCAACCUGCCCCCGGCUCUGGGAUAACUCCAAGAAAUUGGGGCUAAUACCGGAUGUUCACCGCUGCCUGCAUGGGUGGUGGUGGAAAGGGUUUCCGGCUGGGGAUGGGCCCGCGGCCUAUCAGCUUGUUGGUGGGGUAGAGGCCUACCAAGGCGACGACGGGUAGCCGGCCUGAGAGGGUGACCGGCCACACUGGGACUGAGACACGGCCCAGACUCCUACGGGAGGCAGCAGUGGGGAAUAUUGCGCAAUGGGCGGAAGCCUGACGCAGCGACGCCGCGUGGGGGAUGACGGCCUUCGGGUUGUAAACCUCUUUCAGCAGGGACGAAGCGCAAGUGACGGUACCUGCAGAAGAAGCACCGGCCAACUACGUGCCAGCAGCCGCGGUAAUACGUAGGGUGCAAGCGUUGUCCGGAAUUAUUGGGCGUAAAGAGCUCGUAGGCGGUUCGUCGCGUCGGCUGUGAAAACCCGGAGCUCAACUCCGGGCCUGCAGUCGAUACGGGCGGACUUGAGUUCGGCAGGGGAGACUGGAAUUCCUGGUGUAGCGGUGAAAUGCGCAGAUAUCAGGAGGAACACCGGUGGCGAAGGCGGGUCUCUGGGCCGAAACUGACGCUGA